RNAcentral lists this ribosomal RNA (477 nucleotides) under uncultured bacterium. RNAcentral's name for it is "bacterial SSU rRNA". It matches the Rfam family "Bacterial small subunit ribosomal RNA", at positions 28 to 493 of the family's 1533-position model. The record is from RNAcentral.
GAUGAACGCUAGCUACAGGCUUAACACAUGCAAGUCGAGGGGCAGCAUUUUAGUUUGCUUGCAAACUGAAGAUGGCGACCGGCGCACGGGUGAGUAACACGUAUCCAACCUGCCGAUAACUCCGGGAUAGCCUUUCGAAAGAAAGAUUAAUACCGGAUGGCGUACGAAUAUCGCAUGAUAUUUUUAUUAAAGAAUUUCGGUUAUCGAUGGGGAUGCGUUCCAUUAGUUUGUUGGCGGGGUAACGGCCCACCAAGACUACGAUGGAUAGGGGUUCUGAGAGGAAGGUCCCCCACAUUGGAACUGAGACACGGUCCAAACUCCUACGGGAGGCAGCAGUGAGGAAUAUUGGUCAAUGGGCGAGAGCCUGAACCAGCCAAGUAGCGUGAAGGAUGAAGGCUCUAUGGGUCGUAAACUUCUUUUAUAUGGGAAUAAAGUAUUCCACGUGUGGAAUUUUGUAUGUACCAUAUGAAUAAGGAU